UGAUGCGGAAAGAGUGUUGUGAGCAGUUCAUGCAGCUCCCUGAGCAGUCAUGAUGCCUGGCCAUCAAUACUGUCGUCCAUGCCAUUAUUUUGCAUCAUCAUCAUCAACAAUAACAACAACAAUACUCGUGGGGUGUGGGCACCUUCAAGCUACCUCAACAACAAUACCCGUCGGGCCAGGGCUCCAUCCAACCUCCAUUUGAGGCAAUAAGGAUGUUUGUCUUGCAAACACUACCGGCGGUGUGCGGUGCGUAUGUCUCACAAUAUCGCUCCACCAUCACCGACUCAUUUGGUGGCAUCGUUGGUAACUGA
This 311-nucleotide ribosomal RNA is filed under the name Triticum aestivum (bread wheat). Its description in RNAcentral is "partial small subunit ribosomal RNA". Lineage: Eukaryota; Viridiplantae; Streptophyta; Magnoliopsida; Poales; Poaceae. The record is from RNAcentral.